Molecule: non-coding RNA, 108 nt
Organism: Pelobates cultripes (western spadefoot toad)
Lineage: Eukaryota; Metazoa; Chordata; Amphibia; Anura; Pelobatidae
Source: the annotation of a GenBank genome assembly
CAGUGUUCCCUAGUAUCUCAGUGUCCUCAGGUCUCCCAGUGUCCCCAUGUCACUAGGACACUGGGGGACAUUGAGAGACCUGGGGACACUGAGAUACUAGGGAACACU